AUUGAACGCUAGCGGGAUGCUUUACACAUGCAAGUCGAACGAGUGGCGGACGGGUGAGUAAUAUAUCGGAACGUGCCCAGGAGCGGGGGAUAACUACUCGACAGAGUGGCUAAUACCGCAGAAUUUUGGAUCGGCCGAUAUCGGAUUAGCUAGUUGGUGGGGUAAUGGCUCACCAAGGCAACGAUCCGUAGCGGGUUUGAGAGGACGCCCAGGCAGACGGGGACUGAGACACGGCCCAGACGCCGACGGGAGGCAGCAGUGGGGAAUUUUGGACAAUGGGGGAAACCCGGAUACAGCAAUACCGAGUGUAUGAGAAGGCCUUCGGGUGGUAAAGUACUUUUGGCAGAGAAGCGGUAUCUGCAGAAUAAGCACCGGCUAACUACGUGCCAGCAGCCGCGGUAAUAC
RNAcentral lists this ribosomal RNA (405 nucleotides) under uncultured bacterium. RNAcentral describes it as "partial 16S ribosomal RNA". It matches the Rfam family "Bacterial small subunit ribosomal RNA", at positions 30 to 526 of the family's 1533-position model. The record is from RNAcentral.